AGCCCUAAUCAAUGCUAAUUCUUCUUCAGUAGCUAGUGCCAUCCGCUAGAUCUUACUGUUAUAUAUGAUCAUUGUAAUAGAGAGUAAUCAGGCAGCUAGCUCAUGAAACUGGCUAGGAUAACUAGAUCCCCUGCCCGUCUCGGGAUGGGAUCCACCCCUGACGCAGUUAUAAAUGAUGCUAACAUCCUUAUGAAUGAAUAAAGGAGAUGAUUAUCAAGAAAAAAGACCGCAUCAUGUUCAUACAUUAACCACAGCCGGAACUAUCAUUCAAGAUACGAUGCACCGAAAGAGCAGGUGACUAACUACUGCCAGAACUAUCGUUCAAGAUACGAUGCACCGAAAGAGCAGGUGACUAUGGUAAUAUACUGUUUAGUUCAGCAGCAAGCUGCAGCCAACUUGCUCACCCCGAAACCUGGCUACAACAUGUACAUGAUUCCGUAGGGUGGUUUCAGGACAGGACAAUUAUGAAAGGCAAAAGAGCAGGACGAAAGCAGCCUGAAAGCAGCCCUAAGCUAGUAUCUACUGCAAGAUCUUCCAUGCCAUCCAGCAAAGUGACAACAUACCAACAGACAUCAGCAUGCAG
RNAcentral lists this long non-coding RNA (583 nucleotides) under Triticum aestivum (bread wheat). RNAcentral describes it as "long non-coding RNA (TAES_LNC025458)". Lineage: Eukaryota; Viridiplantae; Streptophyta; Magnoliopsida; Poales; Poaceae. The record is from RNAcentral.